This 301-nucleotide ribosomal RNA is filed under the name uncultured bacterium. RNAcentral describes it as "partial 16S ribosomal RNA". It matches the Rfam family "Bacterial small subunit ribosomal RNA", at positions 509 to 807 of the family's 1533-position model. The record is from RNAcentral.
CAGUAGCCGCGGGAAAACAGAGGAUGCAAGCGUUAUCCGGAAUGAUUGGGCGUAAAGCGUCUGUAGGUGGCUUUUCAAGUCCGCUGUCAAAUCCCAAGGCUCAACCCUGGACAGGCGGUGGAAACUACCAAGCUGGAGUACGGUAGGGGCAGAGGGAAUUUCCGGUGGAGCGGUGAAAUGCGUAGAUAUUAGGAAGAACACCAGUGGCGAAGGCGACUUUCUGGACGAAAACUAACGCUGAGGCGCGAAAGCCAGGGGAGCGAACGGGACUAGAGACCCCAGUAGUCCCUGUCUCUUAUAC